This is a small nuclear RNA of Dermacentor silvarum, 185 nucleotides long. RefSeq annotates it as U2 spliceosomal RNA. The record is from RefSeq and is a predicted model, not a curated record. NCBI's taxonomy places the organism in Eukaryota, Metazoa, Arthropoda, Arachnida, Ixodida, Ixodidae. The transcript has a single exon.
AUGGCCGACGCGAGUCAAAGUGUAUAGUAUCUCUUCUUAUCAGCUUAAUAUCAGAUACGGGUCGUAUUUUCACCCAAGAUAAUAAACGUAUUUUUGCAAGUUGGCGGAGUACUUGAAGCCUGCUUCACCUCCGCCAUGGGUCGGCCCGGUGUUGCACGGUCUUCGGGAUUUUUGGUCUACGGACA